This is a long non-coding RNA of Brienomyrus brachyistius, 278 nucleotides long. RefSeq lists it as uncharacterized. The transcript is spliced from 3 exons. NCBI's taxonomy places the organism in Eukaryota, Metazoa, Chordata, Actinopteri, Osteoglossiformes, Mormyridae. The record is from RefSeq and is a predicted model, not a curated record.
AGAGGCUUUGUUAGCGUACCCUAAAACGAGGUACUUAUCCCAAAGAGGCUUUGUUAGCGUACCCUAAAACGAGGUACUUAUCCCAAAGAGGCUUUGUUAGCGUACCCUAAAACGAGGUACUUAUCCCAAAGAGGCUUUGUUAGCGUACCCUAAAACGAGGUACUUAUCCCAAAGAGGCUUUGUUAGCGUACCCUAAAACGAGGUACUUAUCCCAAAGAGGCUUUGUUAGCGUACCCUAAAACGAGGUACUUAUCCCAAAGAGGCUUUGUUAGCGUACC